UCCGGAAUUAUUGGGCGUAAAGGGAGCGCAGGCGGUUGAAAUAGUCUGAUGUGAAAGCCCACGGCUUAACCGUGGAAGGUCAUUGGAAACUGUUCAACUUGAAUACAGAAGAGGUAAGUGGAAUUCCAAGUGUAGCGGUGAAAUGCGUAGAUAUUUGGAGGAACACCAGUGGCGAAGGCGACUUACUGGUCUGUAAUUGACGCUGAGGCUCGAAAGCGUGGGUAGCAAACAGGAUUAGAUACCCUGGUAGUCCACGCCGUAAACGAUGAGUGCUAAGUGUUAGGGGGUUUCCGCCCCUUAGUGCUGGAGUUAACGCAUUAAGCACUCCGCCUGGGGAGUACGGCCGCAAGGCUGAAACUCAAAGGAAUUGACGGGGACCCGCACAAGCGGUGGAGCAUGUGGUUUAAUUCGACGCAACGCGAAGAACCUUACCAACUCUUGACAUCUUCUGAUCACCCUAGAGAUAGGGCUUUCCCUUCGGGGACAGAAUGACAGGUGGUGCAUGGUUGUCGUCAGCUCGUGUCGUGAGAUGUUGGGUUAAGUCCCAUAACGAGCGCAACCCUUAUUGUUAGUUGCCAGCAUUCAGUUGGGCACUCUAGCGAGACUGCCGGUGAUAAACCGGAGGAAGGUGGGGAUGACGUCAAAUCAUCAUGCCCCUUAUGAGUUGGGCUACACACGUGCUACAAUGGACGGUACAACGAGUAGCGAUCCCGCAAGGGUUAGCGAAUCUUAAUAAGCCGUUCUCAGUUCGGAUUGUUCUCUGCAACUCGAGAGCAUGAAGCCGGAAUCGC
This 791-nucleotide ribosomal RNA is filed under the name uncultured Bacillota bacterium. RNAcentral's name for it is "bacterial SSU rRNA". It matches the Rfam family "Bacterial small subunit ribosomal RNA", at positions 544 to 1335 of the family's 1533-position model. The record is from RNAcentral. Lineage: Bacteria; Bacillati; Bacillota.